Molecule: long non-coding RNA, 561 nt
Filed under: Homo sapiens (human)
Lineage: Eukaryota; Metazoa; Chordata; Mammalia; Primates; Hominidae
Description: non-protein coding lnc-ADAP1-2:1
Source: RNAcentral
AUUCGGCGGCCACGAAGCCCGCAGCUGCAGCCGAGGCUUAGACGGUGCCUAGCGAUGUCUGCUGCAAAGCUCAAAAGUGCUGCUGAUCUCCCAGUGCUUCUGGCCGUAUUCCGGUGGGGUUGCCUCCGUGGACAUGAAGGCUUCGAAAAAGGAUCUGUGGGCCGGGCGCGGUGGCUCAUGCCUGUGAUCCCAGCCCUUUGGGAGGCCGAGGUGAAUGUAAAAGCUUUAAAGAGAAAUUCAUGAAGUGUCUUCAUAACAAUAAUUUUGAAAAUGCUUUGUGCAGAAAGGAAUCAAAAGAAUAUUUAGAAUGCAGGAUGGAGAGGUGAGUACAGCUAAGCGUUAUGAUUUCCACCUCCCACUACUCCAAUUAAAACUUUUUUUUUCCUGAAAGGCCAUUACAGUGUGUCUUUUUCAGGCCUGGGAUUCAGCUUGUGUUUUUCAGGACUGUGGAAUUGUUUGCCCUUGAAAUGGAGGCUUAUCAGAUGAAAUUGUACCAAAAGCUGUUUCACAAUCUUGGGAACCUCUUCUUGAGCGAUAGCGUUAUACAUGAUUGCAUUCCUG